Molecule: ribosomal RNA, 663 nt
Filed under: Paenarthrobacter nitroguajacolicus
Lineage: Bacteria; Bacillati; Actinomycetota; Actinomycetes; Micrococcales; Micrococcaceae
Description: bacterial SSU rRNA
Rfam family: Bacterial small subunit ribosomal RNA
Source: RNAcentral
GCUUGCUGGGGGAUUAGUGGCGAACGGGUGAGUAACACGUGAGUAACCUGCCCUUGACUCUGGGAUAAGCCUGGGAAACUGGGUCUAAUACCGGAUACGACCAUCUGGCGCAUGUCAUGGUGGUGGAAAGCUUUUGUGGUUUUGGAUGGACUCGCGGCCUAUCAGCUUGUUGGUGGGGUAAUGGCCUACCAAGGCGACGACGGGUAGCCGGCCUGAGAGGGUGACCGGCCACACUGGGACUGAGACACGGCCCAGACUCCUACGGGAGGCAGCAGUGGGGAAUAUUGCACAAUGGGCGCAAGCCUGAUGCAGCGACGCCGCGUGAGGGAUGACGGCCUUCGGGUUGUAAACCUCUUUCAGUAGGGAAGAAGCGAAAGUGACGGUACCUGCAGAAGAAGCGCCGGCUAACUACGUGCCAGCAGCCGCGGUAAUACGUAGGGCGCAAGCGUUAUCCGGAAUUAUUGGGCGUAAAGAGCUCGUAGGCGGUUUGUCGCGUCUGCUGUGAAAGACCGGGGCUCAACUCCGGUUCUGCAGUGGGUACGGGCAGACUAGAGUGCAGUAGGGGAGACUGGAAUUCCUGGUGUAGCGGUGAAAUGCGCAGAUAUCAGGAGGAACACCGAUGGCGAAGGCAGGUCUCUGGGCUGUAACUGACGCUGAGGAGCG